UUGAUACGAUAAUGAUCGGCACUGUAAAAGCCAUUAUAAAUUACAGUUUGAUAAAGCGGAAGUGUUUAUUCCUGCCCAAUGUACUUUUAUGGCCAACGCACUGGCUAAUAUUCCAAGCACCAGUUUUUGACAGUACUCCAAUAGUACUCCAAUAGUACUCCAGGGAAAUAAGCUAGAAAUAGACCAUGUUCGGGACACUCAAAUAUCCAAGCAACGCUGCCAGUUGAACGAGAAUAUUAGAUCAAACCAGCUAAAAGCAGGGCUGUGCGACAGAUCGCAAGUUUUUAGUAUUAAAACUAAAACAAUAUCGAGCAUUAUCAAUUAGUCGCAUGCAUCCUAAAAGAUUCUCCUGUUAAUUUUGUAAUUUUCAUCAUCUCAAAUUCAGUGCAAUCUGUGAUGGCAACAACGAAGUGAUUCACGAACCAUUGUAUCCAGUCUGAAUACAGGUUUACGUUGGGAAAAAAAAGUGUACCAGUUUUAUAUGACGGGAAGUGUACAUGUUUAAGAAUUUGUUUAUUAAACCAGACUAUAUCUCUCGCCUAAGCGAGAGUUAUAGUCUAACGUCGAUUACUUUACAAUGUUAAAUCUAUCAAUAAUGUAAUUUAGAGGUUUUUACACCUAAUGAAGUGGCUAGUGGCAAAUACUUGUACACUGGACGUUCACACUGAUGAUGGUCAGUUUUGACCGAAAACGUUUUGUGUAUUGUAAUUUUUCACUACCUUGUGGAUAAAUUCUAAAGAUUUUUUAAUAAAUUCAUAUACCUACAUAAAA
This 771-nucleotide unclassified non-coding RNA is filed under the name Diabrotica virgifera virgifera (western corn rootworm). RNAcentral's name for it is "twist-related protein-like". Lineage: Eukaryota; Metazoa; Arthropoda; Insecta; Coleoptera; Chrysomelidae. The record is from RNAcentral.